CUCGUAGGCGGUUCGUCGCGUCCGGUGUGAAAGUCCAUCGCUUAACGGUGGAUCUGCGCCGGGUACGGGCGGGCAGGAGUGCGGUAGGGGAGACUGGAAUUCCCGGUGUAACGGUGGAAUGUGUAGAUAUCGGGAAGAACACCAAUGGCGAAGGCAGGUCUCUGGGCCGUUACUGACGCUGAGGAGCGAAAGCGUGGGGAGCGAACA
Molecule: ribosomal RNA, 207 nt
Filed under: uncultured bacterium
Lineage: Bacteria
Description: partial 16S ribosomal RNA
Rfam family: Bacterial small subunit ribosomal RNA
Source: RNAcentral